RNAcentral lists this ribosomal RNA (254 nucleotides) under uncultured bacterium. RNAcentral describes it as "partial 16S ribosomal RNA". It matches the Rfam family "Bacterial small subunit ribosomal RNA", at positions 524 to 776 of the family's 1533-position model. The record is from RNAcentral.
UACGUAGGGAGCAAGCGUUGUCCGGAAUCAUUGGGCGUAAAGCGCGCGUAGGUGGCCAUGUAAGUCCGCUGUGAAAGUCAAAGGCUCAACCUUUGAAAGCCGGUGGAUACUGCAUGGCUAGAGUACGGAAGAGGGCGAGUGGAAUUCCUGGUGUAGCGGUGGAAUGCGCAGAUAUCAGGAGGAACACCGGUGGCGAAGGCGGUUCUCUGGGCAUGUCCUGACGCUGAGGAGCGAAAGUGUGGGGAGCGAACAGG